AUGAAAAUGAAAGCAAGCCUGGUUCUAACGACGUUGCUCGCGGCGGCGGUCGGGUUCUUCAUCGGCGUUUCCUUUCCUGUGGACAUCACACCAAAGCUUCAGUGUGGCAUCCUCCCUUGGAGCAGCAGCUUCAGUCGCAACACCAUGUUGGGCAGAUUAUGGGGAGCGCCGUUCAGGAACAGCAGCUCCGGCACCCCAAAUGCAACGGGUUCAGAGCCGCUUGUAGAGGUUGCAACAGCAAGAAACCCUGUAGAAGGGGCGGAGAGGCGGCUGCCUCCAGGGAUUGUGGUCUCGGAAUCCGAUCUUCACCUGCGCAGGCUCUGGGGAUCCCCAAAACAGGACAGCCCAGCCCGCAAGUACCUCCUCGCCCUCGCGGUCGGGUAUGGUGAGAGAGCCAAUGUCAACGCAACUGUCCACAAGUUCUCCGACAACUUCGACAUCGUGCUGUUCCACUAUGAUGGACGCACUACAGAGUGGGACCAAGAGUUUGAGUGGUCUAAGAAGGUCACUCAUGUCAGCGCCAGGAAGCAGACCAAAUGGUGGUUCGCUAAGAGGUUCCUGCAUCCGAGCAUCGUCGCGCCCUAUGACUACGUGUUCGUUUGGGACGAGGACCUCGGCGUCGACAACUUUGCCGCGGAACCGUAUCUGGACAUCGUGAGGAGGCACGGGCUGGAGAUCUCGCAGCCGGGGCUGGACGUGACCAAGGGGCCCGCACCGACUUACUACAUCACCGCCAGGAAAAACGGCAGCGAGAUGCACAAGACAGAUGCAGGUGGGGAGCAUUGCUCAGACGUGGGCAAGCGCCCGUGCAGCGGGUUCGUGGAGGUGAUGGCGCCGGUCUUCUCCAGGGAUGCUUGGAGAUGCGUGUGGCAUAUGAUCCAGAAUGACUUUGUCCAUGCAUGGGGUCUUGACUCCAAUUUCUGGAGAUGCGUCGAUGACCCCGAAGAGCAGAUCGGUGUCGUAGACGCGCAGUACUUGGUUCAUCAUGCCGUUCCCACGCUCGAAGGCCAGGGUGAGAAAGAAAAAGGAGGCCGUUUGCAGGUAAAAGCGCGUCAAUAUGAGGAGAUGUUUGCCUUUCGCUCUAGGGUUUCCCGUGCGGACAAGGAAGUUGCCAACAGAACAUCAAUACAGAACUAG
This 1137-nucleotide ribosomal RNA is filed under the name Triticum aestivum (bread wheat). RNAcentral describes it as "partial small subunit ribosomal RNA". The record is from RNAcentral. Lineage: Eukaryota; Viridiplantae; Streptophyta; Magnoliopsida; Poales; Poaceae.